GACGAACGCUGGCGGCGUGCUUAACACAUGCAAGUCGAGCGGUAAGGCCCUUUUUGGGGGUACACGAGCGGCGAACGGGUGAGUAACACGUGGGUGACCUGCCCUCAGCUCUGGGAUAAGCCUGGGAAACUGGGUCUAAUACUGGAUAUGACCUUUCCUCGCAUGGGGGUUGGGUGGAAAGUUUUUCGGCGUGGGGAGUGGGCCCGCGGCCUAAUCAGCUUGUUGGUGGGGUGAUGGCCUACCAAGGCGACGACGGGUAGCCGGCCUGAGAGGGCGACCGG
Molecule: ribosomal RNA, 281 nt
Filed under: uncultured bacterium
Lineage: Bacteria
Description: partial 16S ribosomal RNA
Rfam family: Bacterial small subunit ribosomal RNA
Source: RNAcentral